Molecule: ribosomal RNA, 531 nt
Filed under: uncultured Gammaproteobacteria bacterium
Lineage: Bacteria; Pseudomonadati; Pseudomonadota; Gammaproteobacteria
Description: bacterial SSU rRNA
Rfam family: Bacterial small subunit ribosomal RNA
Source: RNAcentral
AGAGUUUGAUUAUGGCUCAGAUUGAACGCUGGCGGCAGGCCUAACACAUGCAAGUCGAGCGGCAGCGGGAAAGUAGCUUGCUACUUUUGCCGGCGAGCGGCGGACGGGUGAGUAAUGCCUGGGGAUCUGCCCAGUCGAGGGGGAUAACAGUUGGAAACGACUGCUAAUACCGCAUACGCCCUACGGGGGAAAGCAGGGGACCUUCUGGCCUUGCGCGAUUGGAUGAACCCAGGUGGGAUUAGCUAGUUGGUGAGGUAAUGGCUCACCAAGGCGACGAUCCCUAGCUGGUCUGAGAGGAUGAUCAGCCACACUGGAACUGAGACACGGUCCAGACUCCUACGGGAGGCAGCAGUGGGGAAUAUUGCACAAUGGGGGAAACCCUGAUGCAGCCAUGCCGCGUGUGUGAAGAAGGCCUUCGGGUUGUAAAGCACUUUCAGCGAGGAGGAAAGGUUGGUAGCGAAUAACUGCCAGCUGUGACGUUACUCGCAGAAGAAGCACCGGCUAACUGGGCGUGCCAGCAGCCGCGGUAAU